Molecule: long non-coding RNA, 635 nt
Organism: Acinonyx jubatus (cheetah)
Lineage: Eukaryota; Metazoa; Chordata; Mammalia; Carnivora; Felidae
Exons: 3
Source: RefSeq, a predicted model, not a curated record
GGGCAGAAUCCCAAGCAGGCUCCAUGCUGUCAAUGUGCAGCCCGACUUGGGGCUCCCUGAUCUCCGUAAGAUCAUGAUUUGAGCUGAAAACAAGAGUUGGAGCAGCACGCCUCUCUCAAAAUAUCUUAUUGUACUGUACUCCCCCUUCUUGUGAUGAUGUGAGAUGAUAAAAUGUCUACAUGAUGAGAUGAAGCGAGAUGAAUGACAUGGUUAUUAUGAUGUGGUGUUAGGUAACUAACUAUUGACUUUCUGACAGUACACCAGAGGAAGAUCAUCCACUUUUGGACCAUGGUUCACUGCAGUUAACUGAAAUCGUAGAAAGCAUAACCAUGGAGAGAAGGAGGGAGAGAAUCCCAAGCAGGCUCUGCGCCAUCAGUGUGGAGGCAAUGUGGGGCCUGAUCUGACAAACCAUGAGAUCGUGAUGAGCCUAAAUCAAGAGCCAGAUGCUUAACUGAGCCACCCAGGAAUGACUCUAGUCCAGAAGCAGUCUGUUUAAUGGGGAUUGAUGUCUUGCAUUUCUCUCGAUUAAAGGAGUCUUAUACCCUAUAAUAAUUGCUUUUAUUUUCAAUUAGUUGAGGAAAAGACUGUUUUUCCAAAAGUGAGACAAAAGAGAAUAUUAGACUAUAUAUAUAUAU